Molecule: non-coding RNA, 118 nt
Organism: Cordylochernes scorpioides
Lineage: Eukaryota; Metazoa; Arthropoda; Arachnida; Pseudoscorpiones; Chernetidae
Source: the annotation of a GenBank genome assembly
ACGGCCAUACCACAUUGAAAACAACGGUUCUCGUCCGAUCACCGAAAUUAAGCAAUGUCGAGCCCGGUCAGUACUUGGGAGGGUGACCGCCUGGGAACACCAGGUGUAGCUGUAGGCU